GGUUCUUCCACUCUGUAAAACAGCAAGAAGUCGGCGAGAAAACCGUCGGCUGCCGCGAGAUCGUGGGUGGGGCGAAAGAGCUGACUUUCCUUUAACGACGGCCGGCGAAAGAGGGUGGACGAUGGACGAACAUGAGAUCUGUUCUUCGGCUUCGUGAGACGAGUUCUAUGAAGAUCUUGCAUCAGGCUAUCUCCGACGGCACCACCAUCGAAACAGUUGAGUCCACCUUAUAAACCACCAUCGAAACAAAUGUCAAAUAAGCCGGAAGAACACAUCUCAUAUUCGUACAUCGUCCACCCGGAGUUCUUCUGCCGGUAGUCGUUGAAGGAAAGGCUGCUCUUUCACCGAACCACCAUCUCACGCCUGGCGACGGUUUUGUUGACUAGUUCUUGCUUUUUGUCCAGAGUCUAAGAACCGGUGCCGGCCUUUCGAUCCACGCGCGAGUUGGGCUUGCGCUCCGCAAAGAAGUAUCCCUCGGUCCUGUAAACGUCAGCGAAGGCGACUACCGAUGACGGUAGUCGACCACGAGUUCCUCCGCCGUGGGAAGGAACACGGUUGUUUUUUGAAGAGGAGAUGUUUCUUGAAGCGGAGAGGAGAGGAAAUGAACGAGGGGAGGAGAAGGGAGCAGAGAGGCGAGGGGCGAGAAGACAAAGUGCCUUCUUUGAAUCCCAUCGCCCCGUUCGGUCUUGCUCGACUCAGAAACAAAGGUUCGAGGAUCUUGAAGAUGGAGGUAUCUGCGCUGGUGUUGGCUUGUGGCAUGAGGGUGGGAGCUGAUGGAAGGUACAAGAUUUGGUGUUGUAUUGGCAAUCCGUUGGCAUUGCAUUCGGCAGCAUGCUUCCGAGGCCAAGUGCUUCACAGUGCCGUCUUCAGCAGAGGGCUGGAGCUGAUGGAACCAAUAAUAGGUCCCUGUAUGUCAUCAAGGUCGGACCUGUCCACAAUGCCAAGUGAUUUCUUUUCGAUUCUUACCAUACCAUCGCUUUGAAGUUUCUCUAAACUAAAGAUCCGGAAGUACACUGUCAAGCUUGGGUAGCUUCUUAGCAUAUACUUCGAGACUGAGUAGCGAUAUUAUCAGACAAAUAGGAUGGAUGGAUCACAGCAACACUCAUCAAUAUGAAAAGAGGCAAAAUCAUCACAAAAACCAUAAGAACAUAGUGCUGCAACACCCAUAUAGCCGAAUACUUACAAGCAGACAGCUAGAGUGGCCCUCUGUGCAUCGUCACUGUAGUGCCAGAUUUAUUUUGCUGGAGCGUUGUUAGGAACUAUCUUAUUAAGUAAAUGUUUUUAUUUCUUUAGAUUAUCAGUUAUCGAAUUCAUCAUGGCAAAUCAGAGUUUUGCAUUCACUAUCUCCCUCACCUCGCAACAUGGAACUUGUGAUUCGUUUAACAUUUCAUUCAGUGAUGUACUUCCAUGUGAUGACAUGAAUUUAUGCAUCUUCUUUCAGGUUGAGAGAUCAUUUGACUUA
This is an RNA transcript of Musa acuminata AAA Group (dessert banana), 1462 nucleotides long. RefSeq lists it as uncharacterized. The record is from RefSeq and is a predicted model, not a curated record. The transcript has 4 exons. NCBI's taxonomy places the organism in Eukaryota, Viridiplantae, Streptophyta, Magnoliopsida, Zingiberales, Musaceae.